CGCAGUGGACUUAUCAGAUCAACCCUUUUAAAGUCUGUGAAACGUAAAAGUAGUAUUAUCCUUAUAUUGCCUAUUGUUUGUCGGUUUCUGUUUCUUUGCAGUGUCACCAGACUACUAUAAUGUUCAACAAGAUUCCACAGUCAAUGCCCCAUACCAGAUGAUAGAUCAUGCAGCUCAGUCCGCGCCAGCGCUGUAUGAAAGGAUGAACCCCACAAAUAACAAUGAUGGUGCCUAUGUUCAGCCUCGGAUGUGACCAGAGUAGCAACAGACGUCAUCUCUAUGACGUGUCCAGGAUCAACGUCACUGUGGACGCUUUAUAGGAUAUUAACAAUAUAUAAAUGUAGAUGUAAAUAAGAUGAUAUAUCCUGCAAAAAAUAGUUGCUAUAUAAAGUGAAGGAAUAUCUUUUUUGUAUUUGCUUUUCCUCUUGUUAAUUUUUAAUAAAUGAGAUUAGGUAAUAAUUUUUCAAUCCGUAUAACAUUUCUUGAGAUCUCUGUAUAAAUAUUACUAUGUUAAUAUUGCAGCCGUUAACUUUAUUUAUCAUACUGUAAAACUGUAAUUGGCGAACAAUAGUGGGAUUUUGUGCCCGCAAACUCAAGGCUUUUAUGUGAGUUGCCUCUGAUUCGUGUGAGAUGCCCCUUUCAAUAUCCCCACGCGCAGGCCCACGUCUGAUCCUUGGUUACGUGUCCACAUAAACACCAUCAAGCGCAAAACCACAUCUCAUCCCUGAUUACAUGCCCACAUGAAUAUCACCAAGCGCAAAUACACCUCUGAUCCCUGGCAGUUGUUCACAUAACAUCGCUUACACGAAGGGGGGGCUGUAUUCAGUGAGAGGGUGAAGCUGUAUUCAAUGAGAUUAAAAUCGAUUGGUUUACUGAUUGUGAUUGCUGAGGAAAUUGCCAUGCUGGAAAAUGGGCGCUCCAUGUCGUACAGGUUUAUGUAAGCCUACUUUGAAAUGUUCUUUUUUAACAUAAUAUGGUAGCGUCAUUUCUGUGCGGAAGAAAUAGAUUUUAUUCGCGGGAUAAAGUGAUUUUCUGUUAAGGAAUUUUUGUAAUUUUUAAUUAAAUCUGGUACAACGAAGAACCUUGAAAAAUACCAAAGAACAAUGGAAGUGUAUUGAAUUCAAUGCCAUUUAGAACAUGGUAAUAAUUUUCUCCUGUUGUAUUCGCUAUACAACCGAUCAAAACGAAUGGUAAAUAUGCUUUGCCAUCCGUUCAAACAAAAGAAAAGUGGUGGAAUUGUCAGCUUUGUUUGUUAUAAAACUUUUUUAUUUUGAACGACAACCUAACUUUCGUAACUUAUUACAUGUUUAUACAACGGUUUGUACGUGUUAACAAGGUCUUCAUCUACCGCGAAAAACAUCACACGAGAAAUGUCGACGCCUUGUUGCCACUCAGACCCCACCAACAUGCAGUGAGAACGGCGAAAUCUACAAUUUCCCUGCCCAAGGUGUUUGCUCUGUGGCCAUUCUUUCUAAAUCUGGAGUGGUUUUAGUUGAAUUGUAGCUCCAAGUUUUCGAAACGUGAACUCCCUGUGAGGAUAAAACUGUUUCUGGGCAUUACAUGUGUUAAUACUGUACUAGUGGCUACUGCAGUCAGACUGUGGUCAGGUUUUCAUGGAAAUC
Liolophura sinensis is the source of this 1622-nucleotide long non-coding RNA. RefSeq lists it as uncharacterized. Lineage: Eukaryota; Metazoa; Mollusca; Polyplacophora; Chitonida; Chitonidae. The record is from RefSeq and is a predicted model, not a curated record. The transcript is spliced from 4 exons.